UUUUGAUAAUGAAUAUAAAUUCAAAUGCAAAAUAAACUAUUUUCGUUGAUGUGCAGGAAACAAUUUAUGAAUUGAUUUCAUUGGACCAUUUGAUUAAAGUUGUAAACUAUAUGGCUUGGAAUUAAUUUUGGACUAAAAAGAAAAUAGCAGCGACAAUAAUCGAUCAUUUGAUGAAAGAAAAUAUCAAAGCAAUUUAAAUGGGCUUUAGUGGGUAUGGAUCAUUGACUGAGUUUGAAGGUUAAAACAAGGAGCCCAUGCCAUAAAUUAAGGGGGUCGGUGGUGGAAUAAUAAAAGGGGGGUUACGAGUUUGAAAAGGGACGACGGUUACGAGAGGGAGAACAGCCCUUGGCUGUUUGGCACGCAGACCAAGAGAGAGAAAAAAAAACAGCAUUUUGGGGGUUGAGGAUUUUGAUCGCAAUGCUUGGCUAAUCUCCUGGCGUUUCGCCCCGGUAUAGACAUUGUAGGAAUUUUAGGGUUUCGACAUUUUGUAUUUGAUUUGAUUCCGUGACAAAUUAUGUUUGACUAUUUGAAGUUUAUGAUAAUUGUCUUACGUUUGUAUUGAAUUCACGAAUUGUCGAGUGAGUAAUGAAAUUUGACUUCGUGAAACGAAUAUGCGUAAUUAUGCCUUAUCAUAGAUAGGAUUUACAUGUUCUUGGUAAAGAAGUGCACUGCAGUCCGUUGUCUUUGACGUUGAUAGCUUUUGGCACCUAAGCCACGUGACACUAAAUGCGUUAAUUAUCAAAUCAAUUGAAUCAAGUUAAAACAUGUAGGAACCCUAGGUCUUGCAAUUGUCGAACCGGGUGUGAUCCGUAUUCUCAAUUCUUGUUUCAACUUUCUAGCACAUCUUUCAAUAUGAAUUGGGUAGAUGAUGAUCCGUUUAAUCAAAAGUGUUUUAGAUAAUACCCAUUGUCGGUUCAUUCCGAUAUAUUUUCAAAUCAAUUGAACAAAUAAAAUUAGCAAACUUCAUAAUUACUUUGUACAUUUUUGUAAAUAGUCUAACUAAUCGAACAGGUCGUGCAAUACUAACCACAUGCUCUUCGUGGA
Molecule: long non-coding RNA, 1044 nt
Filed under: Helianthus annuus (common sunflower)
Lineage: Eukaryota; Viridiplantae; Streptophyta; Magnoliopsida; Asterales; Asteraceae
Description: sRNA HanXRQr2_Chr14g0644661
Source: RNAcentral